GCGGGAAUAGCUCAGUUGGUAGAGCACGACCUUGCCAAGGUCGGGGUCGAGAGUUCGAGUCUCUUUUCCCGCUCCA
This 76-nucleotide transfer RNA is filed under the name Arenimonas sp. Its description in RNAcentral is "tRNA-Gly". It matches the Rfam family "tRNA". From Rfam's summary of the family: Transfer RNA (tRNA) molecules are approximately 80 nucleotides in length. Their secondary structure includes four short double-helical elements and three loops (D, anti-codon, and T loops). Lineage: Bacteria; Pseudomonadati; Pseudomonadota; Gammaproteobacteria; Lysobacterales; Lysobacteraceae. RNAcentral also lists the same sequence under 5 other names. The record is from RNAcentral.